UUAAUUGAAGAGUUUGAUCAUGGCUCAGAUUGAACGCUGGCGGCAGGCCUAACACAUGCAAGUCGAGCGGCAGCACAGAGAAACUUGUUUCUCGGGUGGCGAGCGGCGGACGGGUGAGUAAUGCCUGGGAAAUUGCCCUGAUGUGGGGGAUAACCAUUGGAAACGAUGGCUAAUACCGCAUGAUAGCUUCGGCUCAAAGAGGGGGACCUUCGGGCCUCUCGCGUCAGGAUAUGCCCAGGUGGGAUUAGCUAGUUGGUGAGGUAAGGGCUCACCAAGGCGACGAUCCCUAGCUGGUCUGAGAGGAUGAUCAGCCACACUGGAACUGAGACACGGUCCAGACUCCUACGGGAGGCAGCAGUGGGGAAU
This 366-nucleotide ribosomal RNA is filed under the name Vibrio vulnificus. RNAcentral describes it as "bacterial SSU rRNA". It matches the Rfam family "Bacterial small subunit ribosomal RNA", at positions 1 to 362 of the family's 1533-position model. The record is from RNAcentral. Lineage: Bacteria; Pseudomonadati; Pseudomonadota; Gammaproteobacteria; Vibrionales; Vibrionaceae.